GUCUAUGGCCAUGCUACCCUGAACAAGCCCGAUCCUGUCUGAUCUUGGAAGCUAAGCAAGGUUGGGCCUGGUUAGUACUUGGAUGGGAGACCACCUAGGAAGACCAGGUGCUGUAGGCA
RNAcentral lists this ribosomal RNA (119 nucleotides) under Pteropus alecto (black flying fox). The record is from RNAcentral. Lineage: Eukaryota; Metazoa; Chordata; Mammalia; Chiroptera; Pteropodidae.